GACAGAGGGUGCAAACGUUGUUCGGAAUUACUGGGCGUAAAGCGCGUGUAGGCGGUCUCGUAAGUCGGGUGUGAAAGCCCCGGGCUCAACCCGGGAAGUGCACUCGAAACUGCGAGGCUAGAGUAUCGGAGAGGUUGGUGGAAUUCUCGGUGUAGAGGUGAAAUUCGUAGAUAUCGAGAGGAACACCGGUGGCGAAGGCGGCCAACUGGACGAAUACUGACGCUGAGACUCGAAAGCGUGGGGAGCAAACAGG
This 253-nucleotide ribosomal RNA is filed under the name uncultured bacterium. Its description in RNAcentral is "partial 16S ribosomal RNA". It matches the Rfam family "Bacterial small subunit ribosomal RNA", at positions 524 to 776 of the family's 1533-position model. The record is from RNAcentral.